Molecule: transfer RNA, 76 nt
Filed under: Gammaproteobacteria bacterium
Lineage: Bacteria; Pseudomonadati; Pseudomonadota; Gammaproteobacteria
Description: tRNA-Ala
Rfam family: tRNA
About the family: Transfer RNA (tRNA) molecules are approximately 80 nucleotides in length. Their secondary structure includes four short double-helical elements and three loops (D, anti-codon, and T loops). Further hydrogen bonds mediate the characteristic L-shaped molecular structure. tRNAs have two regions of fundamental functional importance: the anti-codon, which is responsible for specific mRNA codon recognition, and the 3' end, to which the tRNAs corresponding amino acid is attached (by aminoacyl-tRNA synthetases). tRNAs cope with the degeneracy of the genetic code in two manners: having more than one tRNA (with a specific anti-codon) for a particular amino acid; and 'wobble' base-pairing, i.e. permitting non-standard base-pairing at the 3rd anti-codon position.
Source: RNAcentral
GGGGCCAUAGCUCAGCUGGGAGAGCAUCUGGUUUGCAUCCAGAAGGUCGUCGGUUCGAUCCCGACUGGCUCCACCA